GACAGAGGGUGCAAACGUUGCUCGGAAUCACUGGGCGUAAAGGGCGUGUAGGCGGGAAGGAAAGUCAGAUGUGAAAUCCCUGGGCUCAACCCAGGAACUGCAUUUGAAACUCCCUUUCUUGAGUGUCGGAGAGGAAAGCGGAAUUCCUGGUGUAGAGGUGAAAUUCGUAGAUAUCAGGAGGAACACCGGUGGCGAAGGCGGCUUUCUGGACGACAACUGACGCUGAGACGCGAAAGCGUGGGUAGCAAACAGG
Molecule: ribosomal RNA, 253 nt
Filed under: uncultured bacterium
Lineage: Bacteria
Description: partial 16S ribosomal RNA
Rfam family: Bacterial small subunit ribosomal RNA
Source: RNAcentral